GACGUAGGGUGCGAGCGUUGUCCGGAUUUAUUGGGCGUAAAGAGCUCGUAGGCGGCUCGUCGCGUCGACCGUGAAAACCCGCGGCUUAACUGCGGGCUUGCGGUUGAUACGGGCGGGCUAGAGUUCGGUAGGGGAGACUGGAAUUCCUGGUGUAGCGGUGAAAUGCGCAGAUAUCAGGAGGAACACCGGUGGCGAAGGCGGGUCUCUGGGCCGAUACUGACGCUGAGGCGCGAAAGCCAGGGGAGCAAACGGG
Molecule: ribosomal RNA, 253 nt
Filed under: uncultured bacterium
Lineage: Bacteria
Description: partial 16S ribosomal RNA
Rfam family: Bacterial small subunit ribosomal RNA
Source: RNAcentral